Molecule: ribosomal RNA, 253 nt
Filed under: uncultured bacterium
Lineage: Bacteria
Description: partial 16S ribosomal RNA
Rfam family: Bacterial small subunit ribosomal RNA
Source: RNAcentral
UACGUAGGGACCGAGCGUUGUCCGGAAUCAUUGGGCGUAAAGAGCGUGUAGGCGGCUCGCUAAGUCUUGCGUGAAAUCUCGGGGCUCAACCCCGAGCGGUCGUGAGAAACUGGCGGGCUAGAGUGCGGGAGAGGAGAGUGGAAUUCCUGGUGUAGCGGUGAAAUGCGCAGAUAUCAGGAAGAACACCCGUGGCGAAGGCGGCUCUCUGGAACGCAACUGACGCUGAGACGCGAAAGCGUGGGGAGCAAACAGG